UCUCCGUUGGUGAACCAGCGGAGGGAUCAUUACAGAGUCGUAAAACACUCCCAAACCCAUGUGAACUUACCAUUGUUGCCUCGGCGGAGCCUACCCUGUAGCUACCCUAUAAGGUGGCUACCCUGUAGCGCCCCGCCGGUGGAUUUUCAAACUCUUGUUAUUUAUUGUAAUCUGAGAGUCUUAUUUUAAAUAAGUCAAAACUUUCAACAACGGAUCUCUUGGUUCUGGCAUCGAUGAAGAACGCAGC
This 247-nucleotide unclassified non-coding RNA is filed under the name uncultured fungus. Its description in RNAcentral is "sequence contains ITS1, 5.8S rRNA gene". The stretch from base 199 to 247 matches the Rfam family "5.8S ribosomal RNA", at positions 1 to 49 of the family's 154-position model. The record is from RNAcentral. Lineage: Eukaryota; Fungi.